GACAGCAGUCGCCGCGGUAAUACGGAGGGUGCAAGCGUUAAUCGGAAUUACUGGGCGUAAAGCGCACGCAGGCGGUCUGACAAGUCAGAUGUGAAAUCCCCGGGCUUAACCUGGGAACUGCAUUUGAAACUGUCAGGCUGGAGUCUUGUAGAGGGGGGUAGAAUUCCAGGUGUAGCGGUGAAAUGCGUAGAGAUCUGGAGGAAUACCGGUGGCGAAGGCGGCCCCCUGGACAAAGACUGACGCUCAGGUGCGAAAGCGUGGGGAGCAAACAGGAUUAGAGACCCCGGUAGUCCCUGUCUCUUAUAA
RNAcentral lists this ribosomal RNA (306 nucleotides) under uncultured bacterium. RNAcentral describes it as "partial 16S ribosomal RNA". It matches the Rfam family "Bacterial small subunit ribosomal RNA", at positions 507 to 809 of the family's 1533-position model. The record is from RNAcentral.